CUCAGUAACGGGCGAUUUAUUUGUUCUCCUGUGACGGACAACAUCGGGAAACUGAUGGGAAAACGUCUAAGUUGCAGUUAAUUGAUUGUGACGUAAACGAUAUUGUGCAGGAGAGUAAGAUGCCAUCCUAUCAGUUAGUAAGUAGGGUAAGGGCCUACUUAGACGAAGACGGGUACGGGGAAUGAGGGUUUGAUUCCGGAGAGGGAGCCUGAGAGAUGGCUACCAGGACCAAGGUCAGCAGCAGGCGCGAAAAUUAUCGAAGCCCGCCUAGGGGCGAUAGUGAGGAGACGUGUAUAACGAAGUACGUGUAAAGAACGUGCUAAUAACUGGAGGUCAAGUCUGGUGCCAGCA
Molecule: ribosomal RNA, 351 nt
Filed under: Dictyocoela duebenum (nom. nud.)
Lineage: Eukaryota; Fungi; Microsporidia
Description: SSU rRNA
Rfam family: Microsporidia small subunit ribosomal RNA
Source: RNAcentral